CAGCUUCUCAUAACUUAUGUCAUCAUCUUAGCACCAUAUAUGAUAAUAUAUUGGUAGUAUGACUACUAGUUG
Molecule: transfer RNA, 72 nt
Filed under: Saccharomyces cerevisiae R008
Lineage: Eukaryota; Fungi; Ascomycota; Saccharomycetes; Saccharomycetales; Saccharomycetaceae
Description: tRNA-Asp
Source: RNAcentral